UCAGUGAGAGUCUAUUCAAACUCUUAAUAUUUGCAUCUAUCACGUUUUUCUGGGUCCAAUUCCACUGAACAGCAUUCUUUACUCCUCUAUCUGCUCCGUAGUCACUGCUACCCUCACUACUGGUUUCCUUGGAUGACUCAGCAUCACUAUCUUCACCAGGCCUCCUGUCAAAAAGUAGAAGCAAUAACAAUGCAUGCAUCAAGCACAUUUAUAACAAUAUUAUGUUCACAACUGAAGGAAUGUUAAACAUUAGAAUUGCAUUUCAAAUUAUCAUUUCUUACAGCAGAAAGGACAAAUCAACUAUUUGUAUUGCAUAAACAAUGAAAUAUCUCAAGAAACCUAGGAGGCGAUAUCAAUUUCCAAGAAACGAAAAAAAGCAGAGAAGAUGGCAGACAUUUUGAAGAAAAUUACAUAAUCCUACUGUUGAUUUAGUAUAUCCACAAGAAUGAUUCCAAUAAUUUGGGCUUGAUUUAAGUGGAGACACAAAGAAGUGUAUAGCUCUGAAAUGCACAUUGAUGAAAGCAUCCCAUCAUGCCAUGGUAAGAUCCAAAGUAACACAGUUUGCUUCAAGCUUCUAUUUGAUGGAAUGCUUAUUUACUUAAAUCAUUUAACUGUGUAAGAUGUCGCCUGUAACCACUGAAAGGCAGGUGAAACAGUUGAUCAAAGGCAAAACAUCCCUUCAUCAAUCAUAGCAUUUCAAACUUAAACUCAAGUUUACAUAUAACUGAGCCAAAUUUGUGAUUUUUCAAAAACACUCAAGGAAAAGAAAAUAUUCAGAGACACUCUAAAUUUAAAUUAGACAUGUAGAAAUGUAUUAUACACACCUUUGACACAUCUCGUUAAUCAGAAUGUUUCCUUAACAUUAAAGAUAAAAGAAGUUGCCACAUAAUGACAUAUGCAUCUGCAUCUGAAGAAGUAACUUUAAGCAACUAUAAUACAACCGAAACGCAAAUACUUGCUACAAGAGUUAUUAACUUUUCACUGCUCCAUUGCCAAGUCAAUUAAGCCCUCAAACCCACCAUGUCUCUAGAGCAAUAAUAUCAACCAUUCAAACCAUAUUACAACAGAAAGAACACUGGAAUAUUAAUCAAUUAUCCAAAUGCUUAGAGCAAGCAAUUCGGAUGCAAGAGUAAAAAAAGGCACAAAUACCAUACGUUGGUACGAACACACCGAAUUCACAUCAAUCAAUCAACAAUCGUUACAAAGGGUCAAUAGAAAUAGACACACUAACAAACAAGAAAAAGAUGGAGUAAGAAUGAAGACAAGGGUGGCUCACCUUAGCCUUGGAGAGGGUCCUGAUGGGUCUAUAUACAGCUGAAU
This 1320-nucleotide unclassified non-coding RNA is filed under the name Hevea brasiliensis (rubber tree). Lineage: Eukaryota; Viridiplantae; Streptophyta; Magnoliopsida; Malpighiales; Euphorbiaceae. The record is from RNAcentral.